RNAcentral lists this ribosomal RNA (294 nucleotides) under Moritella sp. PE36. RNAcentral describes it as "partial 23S ribosomal RNA". It matches the Rfam family "Bacterial large subunit ribosomal RNA", at positions 2638 to 2925 of the family's 2925-position model. Lineage: Bacteria; Pseudomonadati; Pseudomonadota; Gammaproteobacteria; Alteromonadales; Moritellaceae. The record is from RNAcentral.
CUAUCUGCCGUGGGCGUUUGAGAAUUGAGAGGAGCUGCUCCUAGUACGAGAGGACCGGAGUGGACGAACCACUGGUGUUCGGGUUGUCAUGCCAAUGGCAUUGCCCGGUAGCUAAGUUCGGAACUGAUAACCGCUGAAAGCAUCUAAGCGGGAAGCAGGCCUCGAGAUGAGUUCUCACUGGAGCUUUAAGCUCCCUGAAGGGCCGUUGGAGACUACAACGUUGAUAGGCAAGGUGUGUAAGUGCUGUGAGGCAUUGAGCUAACUUGUACUAAUUACCCGUGAGGCUUAACCAUA